GAUGAACGCUGGCGGCAUGCCUAAUACAUGCAAGUCGAACGAGAGGAAGGAAAGCUUGCUUUUCUGAAUCUAGUGGCGAACGGGUGAGUAACACGUAGGUAACCUGCCCAUGUGCCCGGGAUAACUUCUGGAAACGGAUGCUAAAACCGGAUAGGUAGCAGACAAGCAUUUGACUGCUAUUAAAGUGGCUAAGGCCAUGAACAUGGAUGGACCUGCGGUGCAUUAGCUAGUUGGGGAGGUAACGGCCCACCAAGGCGACGAUGCAUAGAGCGCCUGAGAGGGCGGACGGCCACAUUGGGACUGAGACACGGCCCAAACUCCUACGGGAGGCAGCAGUAGGGAAUUUUCGUCAAUGGGGGGAACCCUGAACGAGCAAUGCCGCGUGAGUGAGGAAGGUCUUCGGAUCGUAAAGCUCUGUUGUAAGAGAAAAACGACAUUCAUAGGGAAUGAUGAGUGAGUGAUGGUAUCUUACCAGAAAGUCACGGCUAACUACGUGCCAGCCGCCGCGGUAA
Molecule: ribosomal RNA, 512 nt
Filed under: uncultured bacterium
Lineage: Bacteria
Description: partial 16S ribosomal RNA
Rfam family: Bacterial small subunit ribosomal RNA
Source: RNAcentral